AAUGAACGCUGGCGGUAGGCUUAACACAUGCAAGUCGGACGGAAACGAUAGAAAAACUUGUUUUUCUAGGCGUCGAGUGGCGGACGGGUGAGUAACGCGUGGGAAUCUACCCUAUAGUUGGGGACAACGUAUGGAAACGUACGCUAAUACCGAAUAUGCUCUACGGAGUAAAGGUGCCCUCUCCUUGGAAGGUAUCGCCAUAGGAUGAGCCCGCGUGAGAUUAGCUAGUUGGUGGGGUAAUGGCUCACCAAGGCGACGAUCUCUAGCUGGUUUGAGAGGAUGAUCAGCCACACUGGGACUGAGACACGGCCCAGACUCCUACGGGAGGCAGCAGUGGGGAAUAUUGCACAAUGAGCGAAAGCUUGAUGCAGCCAUACCGCGUGUGUGAAGAAGGCCCGAGGGUUGUAAAGCACUUUCAAUUGGGAGGAAGGUUAAGUAGUUAAUACCUGCUUAAUUUGACGUUACCUUUAGAAGAAGCACCGGCUAACUCUGU
RNAcentral lists this ribosomal RNA (493 nucleotides) under uncultured Gammaproteobacteria bacterium. Its description in RNAcentral is "bacterial SSU rRNA". It matches the Rfam family "Bacterial small subunit ribosomal RNA", at positions 29 to 506 of the family's 1533-position model. The record is from RNAcentral. Lineage: Bacteria; Pseudomonadati; Pseudomonadota; Gammaproteobacteria.